UACGAAGGGGGCUAGCGUUGCUCGGAAUCACUGGGCGUAAAGCGCGCGUAGGCGGCCUCAUAAGUCCGUUGUGAAAGUCAAAGGCUCAACCUUUGAAAGCCGAUGGAUACUGUGAGGCUAGAGUCCGGAAGAGGCGAGUGGAAUUCCUGGUGUAGCGGUGGAAUGCGCAGAUAUCAGGAGGAACACCAAUAGCGAAGGCAGCUCGCUGGGACGGUACUGACGCUAAGGCGCGAAAGCGUGGGGAGCGAACAGG
This 253-nucleotide ribosomal RNA is filed under the name uncultured bacterium. RNAcentral's name for it is "partial 16S ribosomal RNA". It matches the Rfam family "Bacterial small subunit ribosomal RNA", at positions 524 to 776 of the family's 1533-position model. The record is from RNAcentral.